RNAcentral lists this ribosomal RNA (253 nucleotides) under uncultured bacterium. Its description in RNAcentral is "partial 16S ribosomal RNA". It matches the Rfam family "Bacterial small subunit ribosomal RNA", at positions 524 to 776 of the family's 1533-position model. The record is from RNAcentral.
UACGUAGGUGGCAAGCGUUGUCCGGAUUUACUGGGCGUAAAGAGCGCGCAGGCGGUCGGAUAAGUCGAAUGUGAAAGCCCCCGGCUCAACUGGGGAGGGUCAUUCGAUACUGUUCGACUCGAAGGCAGGAGAGGGAAGUGGAAUUCCCGGUGUAGUGGUGAAAUGCGCAGAUAUCGGGAGGAACACCGGUGGCGAAGGCGGUUCUCUGGGCCUGACCUGACGCUGAGGAGCGAAAGCGUGGGGAGCGAACAGG